RNAcentral lists this ribosomal RNA (274 nucleotides) under uncultured bacterium. Its description in RNAcentral is "partial 16S ribosomal RNA". It matches the Rfam family "Bacterial small subunit ribosomal RNA", at positions 523 to 796 of the family's 1533-position model. The record is from RNAcentral.
AUACGGAGGGUGCAAGCGUUAUCCGGAAUCAUUGGGUUUAAAGGGUCCGCAGGCGGAUUAAUAAGUCAGUGGCGAAAUCCUCUCGCUCAACGAGAGAACUGCCAUUGAAACUGUUAGUCUUGAAUUCGGUCGAAGUAGGCGGAAUGUGUCAUGUAGCGGUGAAAUGCAUAGAUAUGACACAGAACACCGAUAGCGAAGGCAGCUUACUAGACCUGGAUUGACGCUCAUGGACGAAAGCGUGGGGAGCGAACAGGAUUAGAAACCCCAGUAGUCC